RNAcentral lists this small RNA (28 nucleotides) under Bombyx mori (domestic silkworm). RNAcentral's name for it is "ovarian small RNA-29441". Lineage: Eukaryota; Metazoa; Arthropoda; Insecta; Lepidoptera; Bombycidae. The record is from RNAcentral.
UCUACCAGUGGAAUCUAUUUCAAAGGCU